RNAcentral lists this ribosomal RNA (31 nucleotides) under Ganoderma resinaceum. Its description in RNAcentral is "partial 28S ribosomal RNA". The record is from RNAcentral. Lineage: Eukaryota; Fungi; Basidiomycota; Agaricomycetes; Polyporales; Polyporaceae.
GACCUCUGACCUCAAAUCAGGUAGGAACCUG